UACGUAGGUGGCAAGCGUUGUCCGGAUUUACUGGGCGUAAAGAGCGCGCAGGCGGUCGAUCAAGUCGCGUGUGAAAGCCCCCGGCUCAACUGGGGAGGGUCACGCGAUACUGAUCGACUCGAAGGCAGGAGAGGGAAGCGGAAUUCCCGGUGUAGUGGUGAAAUGCGUAGAUAUUGGGAGGAACACCAGUGGCGAAGGCGGCUUCCUGGCCUGUUCUUGACGCUGAGGCGCGAAAGCUAGGGUAGCAAACGGG
RNAcentral lists this ribosomal RNA (253 nucleotides) under uncultured bacterium. RNAcentral's name for it is "partial 16S ribosomal RNA". It matches the Rfam family "Bacterial small subunit ribosomal RNA", at positions 524 to 776 of the family's 1533-position model. The record is from RNAcentral.